CACCUACCCUCCAGAUGUGGUGGGAGACGCCUUUAUGUAACAUGAAUCUGUAUGAUGAAUUCUUGCUCAUAUUGAAGACAUGAAAUUCCUAUGUGUAGGAUAUGUACUUUGAGUUCAUUAUCCCUAAAAGCAAGUCAUGGAUAUGCUUAAGUUAUCUGAGUGCUUUCUCUGGAGACCAGUGGAAUGCUUCGAGGUUCUUCCAUCUGGCAGGUGUCAAAGAAGACAACAGGAACCAUGAGCAGAACCACUUGGAACUGCAAACUCUUUGGGCCAAGGACAGACUUCUUCUCCAGGUCUGGUUUGGUUCGCAAAUUCCUGGCUGUCAUAGCAACCUGAAAAGCAAAGGAAGACUGUUUAGUGUCGUCUUUGACUGCAGCCUGGGCUCGGAAUGCGCUCAGGUUGGCCCAGUAAACAGUGUUCACCGGUAACCACUCUGUGUCUCUCCCUCUGGGCCCAGGGAUGGGUGAGGCAGGGAGCUCACCAGGCUCAAGUCAUCUGGCUGCACAGCUUCUCACCUAGUGUCACUCAGCUCCCCUCUGCUGCUCUGUCUCCCAGUGGCUCUGCCAGAUCUAACAUGGGGAGGGAAUUUCCAGAAGAGGCCUAUUGGGAGAUGGAGUCAACUCCACAGUGGAAGCAAAUGCCUGCCGCCCACAUGAAGAUGUGUGAAGAUGACUUGGGGAGGGGGAGCCGACAGCAUUUCCAUGGUAACCUCAAGCAUCCCUGUGAAGUCAUCAUUGUGCUCUUCUGACCUAUUCAAACCCUGGCAACCAGGGCUGUUUAUCUCUAGGGAUUGAGUUCAAGAUCUAAAAAUGUGAAAGACUUAAACUGAAAUGAAUAGGCACCUCACUUGCUAAGAAGUAGGUCUACAAAGACAUGUGAUGUCAUGUUCAUUAAUCGUUACAUUGAUUGUUACAAGAUUUUUACACAUUUGACAACAAUUUACAGAAUUGUUGCAAUUUACAUUGCAAGAAUUCCUGAUUAUGCACAGUGAUUGCCGAGAAAUCAUUGUUG
This 1011-nucleotide long non-coding RNA is filed under the name Pan troglodytes (chimpanzee). RNAcentral's name for it is "long non-coding RNA NONPTRT002890". Lineage: Eukaryota; Metazoa; Chordata; Mammalia; Primates; Hominidae. The record is from RNAcentral.